Molecule: ribosomal RNA, 550 nt
Filed under: Shinella zoogloeoides
Lineage: Bacteria; Pseudomonadati; Pseudomonadota; Alphaproteobacteria; Hyphomicrobiales; Rhizobiaceae
Description: bacterial SSU rRNA
Rfam family: Bacterial small subunit ribosomal RNA
Source: RNAcentral
GUGGCAGACGGGUGAGUAACGCGUGGGAAUCUACCCAUCUCUACGGAAUAACUCAGGGAAACUUGUGCUAAUACCGUAUACGCCCUUUGGGGGAAAGAUUUAUCGGAGAUGGAUGAGCCCGCGUUGGAUUAGCUAGUUGGUGGGGUAAAGGCCUACCAAGGCGACGAUCCAUAGCUGGUCUGAGAGGAUGAUCAGCCACAUUGGGACUGAGACACGGCCCAAACUCCUACGGGAGGCAGCAGUGGGGAAUAUUGGACAAUGGGCGCAAGCCUGAUCCAGCCAUGCCGCGUGAGUGAUGAAGGCCCUAGGGUUGUAAAGCUCUUUCACCGGUGAAGAUAAUGACGGUAACCGGAGAAGAAGCCCCGGCUAACUUCGUGCCAGCAGCCGCGGUAAUACGAAGGGGGCUAGCGUUGUUCGGAAUUACUGGGCGUAAAGCGCACGUAGGCGGGUAUUUAAGUCAGGGGUGAAAUCCCGGAGCUCAACUCCGGAACUGCCUUUGAUACUGGGUACCUAGAGUAUGGAAGAGGUAAGUGGAAUUCCGAGUGUAGAG